RNAcentral lists this ribosomal RNA (496 nucleotides) under uncultured bacterium. RNAcentral's name for it is "partial 16S ribosomal RNA". It matches the Rfam family "Bacterial small subunit ribosomal RNA", at positions 28 to 506 of the family's 1533-position model. The record is from RNAcentral.
GAUGGACGAUGGCGGCGUGCCUAAUACAUGCAAGUCGAGCGAACGGACGAGAAGCUUGCUUCUCUGAUGUUAGCGGCGGACGGGUGAGUAACACGUGGAUAACCUACCUAUAAGACUGGGAUAACUUCGGGAAACCGGAGCUAAUACCGGAUAAUAUUUUGAACCGCAUGGUUCAAAAGUGAAAGACGGUCUUGCUGUCACUUAUAGAUGGAUCCGCGCUGCAUUAGCUAGUUGGUAAGGUAACGGCUUACCAAGGCAACGAUGCAUAGCCGACCUGAGAGGGUGAUCGGCCACACUGGAACUGAGACACGGUCCAGACUCCUACGGGAGGCAGCAGUAGGGAAUCUUCCGCAAUGGGCGAAAGCCUGACGGAGCAACGCCGCGUGAGUGAUGAAGGUCUUCGGAUCGUAAAACUCUGUUAUUAGGGAAGAACAUAUGUGUAAGUAACUGUGCACAUCUUGACGGUACCUAAGCAGAAAGCCACGGCUAACUACGU